UGGCUAUUUCUAAAGUAUAUGUCCAAAUUAUUUCCUUUGAUACUCUACUUACAUCAUAUGAGGAUCAGUUCCUAACCGUUAGUGCAGUGACUCACAUAUCCGAAAUGAACUGUAAGGGAUUAAGGUUUCCGCUAACAUAACAAAUAAAGAAAGGAAAGCAGAGAAGAGUAGUAACCUUUGUCCUAGAAGAUGGGGCAUUUUGUUAUGAUUUGCUCAAGAAAUUUGACGAUCAAUUGUAGAAUGGAAAAGGCUGAAAAUGCAUAAAGAACAUAGUAGAAAUCCUAAUUCACCGAAGAAUUCAUCAUAAAACUCAAAGGGGUACAAGAAUCAACAAAUUAAAUGCUAAAACAAAAACAAAAAUGUAAUGAUAAGCAUUAUUCAUUGCAUAACUUUCUAAUAUACCUACAAAAUGAAACUAAGUCCUCUUCACUGCUUUACAUAGAGAUGGAUAUGUUGGUGAACAGAGGCGUGAUGUUACUCAUGCUAAACUUCGGAACGAAUAAAUGUGUGGGUAAUUAAAACAAUUUAUUUCAUUCUUGAUAAGAUAGCUCCAGAGUAGUGUUAAAAUUUGAUGGCUGGUCCACCUCAUUUUGUGAAAACAAAUGUAGAUUACAAUCGCGGGGUACUGCUUAUUGAAAAAUUCGAGGAGGGGUCUAUAGGGCUUUCUUUGAAACCUGAUGACGGACCAUCUGGUUUGUUCUUUAAUUGGAAACAAGUCUCAUCAUUCGAUUGAGAAUAUGUUGUUCCAUUGUAAACACACAACUGAUGAUAGAAGUGUAUAAAGCCAAUAAUAUGAAGUACUAAAUGAUGUCUCUGUUAACAACAAAAUCAAUUUGUCUAUUCUUCUCAUCUCCCUCAGCUUUAAAUAGCCAGAACAAAGUAGAAGUUGAGUUUUUAUAUGGGGAAAAACUCACUUAUUUAUUUUACCCAAAAGCCAUAUAUGGUAAAGCACAAAACACAAAAGGUUUAAGCCUGCUCAAAUGGGGGAAAAACCUCCACAGUGGAGUUUGAUUGAGAGCAGAAGCACGAAGCAUGUUACAUGUAGCUAAUAUCAGAUGUACAAAAGGACAAAAACACAUGUACUUUCAAAUUUUUUUGUAUAAAAAAAUUAAGUAGAAGAACAAAGCUUAAAUACCAUUUUUUGUACAUAGAACACUUCAGAAAACAAGAGCAAAUAUACACAUACCAGAGCGAAAUAAUUUGUUCUAUCUAUUUUUCAGCAUGCGGGACAAUAUUCUCUUGAGAAAAUUGUGCCACACUUUCUUUAAA
RNAcentral lists this long non-coding RNA (1269 nucleotides) under Solanum tuberosum (potato). RNAcentral's name for it is "long non-coding RNA (STUB_LNC006373)". Lineage: Eukaryota; Viridiplantae; Streptophyta; Magnoliopsida; Solanales; Solanaceae. The record is from RNAcentral.